RNAcentral lists this transfer RNA (73 nucleotides) under Vicugna pacos (alpaca). RNAcentral describes it as "tRNA-Ala (AGC) (tRNA-Ala-AGC-222-1)". It matches the Rfam family "tRNA". Rfam says of the family: Transfer RNA (tRNA) molecules are approximately 80 nucleotides in length. Their secondary structure includes four short double-helical elements and three loops (D, anti-codon, and T loops). The record is from RNAcentral. Lineage: Eukaryota; Metazoa; Chordata; Mammalia; Artiodactyla; Camelidae.
GGAGGGUAUAGCUCAGCGGUAGAGUGCAUGCUUAGCAUGCAUGAGGUCCUGGGUUCAAUCCCCAGUUCCUCCA